This 1248-nucleotide ribosomal RNA is filed under the name Triticum aestivum (bread wheat). RNAcentral describes it as "partial small subunit ribosomal RNA". The record is from RNAcentral. Lineage: Eukaryota; Viridiplantae; Streptophyta; Magnoliopsida; Poales; Poaceae.
AUGAACAAAUUCGAUUUAAUAACACAAACAGUACAAAGCGUCUCUCACGUCCAUUCUUUUAUUUUUGAUUUUUCCCAACCUGCGUUGGAUCCGCAGCUUGUGAACCGGCUUUUGGAAGGGGUGGAGGCACCUACCUCGAAAGACAGGGACCUCCUUUUAAAAAUGUAUGGAAUUGCGCCCGGAAAUACACAGGCUUUGCUUUUUGAAAUCACAAAAAUGGUAGAAUCAUACAUGCGGCAGGCAAAUUUGGUUUUGCCACCUGCAUACGAUGUUACCUGGUUUUGUAACCAGUUUCUGGGCGUGGAUUCUUUUAAGGAUCUAAAGGAUACUUUCGUAGAUUUACAUUUCAAGGGGCGCGAAAGCUUAACUUGGAACACAGGCUUUGUUAAUUUUUAUAACGAAAUAUGGAGGGCCGAAGACUCCCCGCCGGGUAGCGCUGUAAGUGCUCCGAAUCAGCUUUUUUUGGAAAACCCAUUGGAUCAAUUUGCCAUUUACCCAAUAAUUGAUCUUCAUGUGGGCAACUUUUAUUUUACAUUUACAAAUGCAGUCUUGUAUAUGCUGCUCACUGUCGUGUUGGUCGUUUUUCUGUUUUUUGUUGUUACGAAAAAGGGAGGUGGAAAGUCAGUGCCAAAUGCAUGGCAAUCCUUGGUCGAGCUUAUUUAUGAUUUCGUGCUGAACCUGGUAAACGAACAAAUAGGUGGUCUUUCCGGAAAUGUGAAACAAAAGUUUUUCCCUCGCAUCUCGGUCACUUUUACUUUUUCGUUAUUUCGUAAUCCCCAGGGUAUGAUACCCUUUAGCUUCACAGUGACAAGUCAUUUUCUCAUUACUUUGGCUCUUUCAUUUUCCAUUUUUAUAGGCAUUACGAUCGUUGGAUUUCAAAGACAUGGGCUUCAUUUUUUUAGCUUCUUAUUACCUGCGGGAGUCCCACUGCCGUUAGCACCUUUCUUAGUACUCCUUGAGCUAAUCUCUUAUUGUUUUCGUGCAUUAAGCUUAGGAAUACGUUUAUUUGCUAAUAUGAUUGCCGGUCAUAGUUUAGUAAAGAUUUUAAGUGGGUUUGCUUGGACUAUGCUAUUUCUGAAUAAUAUUUUCUAUUUCAUAGGAGAUCUUGGUCCCUUAUUUAUAGUUCUAGCAUUAACCGGUCUGGAAUUAGGUGUAGCUAUAUCACAAGCUCAUGUUUCUACGAUCUCAAUUUGUAUUUACUUGAAUGAUGCUACAAAUCUCCAUCAAAAUGAGUCAUUUCAUAAUUGA